Molecule: ribosomal RNA, 445 nt
Filed under: uncultured bacterium
Lineage: Bacteria
Description: partial 16S ribosomal RNA
Rfam family: Bacterial small subunit ribosomal RNA
Source: RNAcentral
GUGAGGAAUAUUGCGCAAUGGAGGCAACUCUGACGCAGCCAUGCCGCGUGCAGGAAGAAGGCGCUACGCGUUGUAAACUGCUUUUAACCGGGAAGAAACCCCAGGACGUGUCCUGGGUUGACGGUACCGGAGGAAUAAGCACCGGCUAACUUCGUGCCAGCAGCCGCGGUAAUACGAAGGGUGCAAGCGUUAUCCGGAUUCAUUGGGUUUAAAGGGUGCGUAGGCGGAUUUAUAAGUCAGUGGUGAAAUCCUGCAGCUUAACUGCAGAACUGCCAUUGAUACUGCAGAUCUUGAAUUGAGUGGGAGUGGGCGGAAUAUGACAUGUAGCGGUGAAAUGCAUAGAUAUGUCAUAGAACACCGAAAGCGAAGGCAGCUCACUAAGCAAAUAUUGACGCUGAGGCACGAAAGCGUGGGGAUCAAACAGGAUUAGAUACCCGUGUAGUCC